This 468-nucleotide ribosomal RNA is filed under the name uncultured bacterium. Its description in RNAcentral is "partial 16S ribosomal RNA". It matches the Rfam family "Bacterial small subunit ribosomal RNA", at positions 28 to 507 of the family's 1533-position model. The record is from RNAcentral.
GACGAACGCUGGCGGCGUGCUUAACACAUGCAAGUCGAACGGAAAGGCCCUGCUUUUGUGGGGUGCUCGAGUGGCGAACGGGUGAGUAACACGUGAGUAACCUGCCCUUGACUUUGGGAUAACUUCAGGAAACUGGGGCUAAUACCGGAUAGGAGCUCCUGCUGCAUGGUGGGGGUUGGAAAGUUUCGGCGGUUGGGGAUGGACUCGCGGCUUAUCAGCUUGUUGGUGGGGUAGUGGCUUACCAAGGCUUUGACGGGUAGCCGGCCUGAGAGGGUGACCGGCCACAUUGGGACUGAGAUACGACCCAGACUCCUACCGGAGGCAGCAGUGACGAAUAUUUCACAAUGGGCGGAAGCCUGAUGCAGCAACGCCGCGUGCGGGAUGACGGCCUUCGGGUUGUAAACCGCUUUCGCCUGUGACGAAGCGUGAGUGACGGUAAUGGGUAAAGAAGCACCGGCUAACUACGUG